UCCACAAAGUCGGAGACCUUGACCAUCUGUGGGAGCAACCUGCUUCAGAAAAAUCCAGUUUCAUGCAUUAUUUUGAGCCCAUCUGGCUACUUUGCCAGUUUUGCAUUCCUUGUUCAUUUAUGAUAACGAAACACUUUGACUGGACUUAUCCGAUUAUGUUUGCUGCCAUCUAGUAUGCAAGUUUAAGGACGUCAGACCUUCAAAUGUUAAUUUCAAUUCCUAAAUCAGUUCAAGAGACUCCGUACAAGUUGCCACCAGUGGUGCGUUUAUCAAUAUCUUCUUCGACUGCGACAGAGUCGCAGAUUGAUCCACUGAUAUGUAGAGAGCUUUCAGUCUGCGUCUUCUAGAUAUGACGGUCAUUUUCUGUCAUCCAUCACAUCGAAAGCUUGAUUAGAUCAGUACUUAUCAAAACGCACGAAUAUCUCAUCCUGAUUUAAAUAGCUGUAGGGUAAAGCUGCUGCGUUCAAUCUUGUUACCCUGCAAACACACCAGUACCAGCUCGCACUCGAGAAGCAAGAUACUGCAGAAGUGACGUGAUUAAUCGGAGCCUAUUUAAAUCCCAGCUCGAUGAUCUUGUUGUACUUGUGCACAGCAAUUGUGUGAAAGAGUACUGUCUUUUGCAUACGAUCCAGUACAGACAUCCUCGAGCCAGAUGUCAGAUAAGUCCAGUUCUGGUCUAGCCCUUCGCAAAAGUCUCAUCAGUUCUGUAAGAGUGGACGUCACCCUGCAGUACCAUACUACUAUCUGUAUUACCAGUGAUGCAGACUUUGUGAUAACAACUGUGAUAAUAUUUACCACUGCGUUUAGUCAGGUCAAUUUCACAAUUUCUUAAAUCUUCUUAUCGAGUGUGUUCUCCCAAGGUUUCUGAAAUUUAUCCUUAUGAAUCACUGGUUACCACUGUAAUGUGCAGAUUGCAAGAAGUACAUGAGACCUAGACAGAAGCGAUCUGACGAGGUGCGUAAUUUAGGAUUUGAAGUUUUGACAUGAGACAUCAAACUCGUCCUGUCAUUCCGCACCAAAAUGAGAACCCUACAGAGUGCUCUGUGUGAGGUCUCCUCUAUACCAUGAUGUAUAGUUAUUCCUUGAGGUAAUCUGAGGGAGUAAAAGAAUUACACAUGUACAGUACAGGACGUCUUUGACCCUGGUAUUCCGUCACUUCUCCUUGUGAUCUUUCAGGGUACUUGCUAGCGACCGCUCCACUUUUUGUUUUGUCAAUUAUGAGAGGAGUGUUCGAGAUUGGUAAAUUGUGUAACGGAACCUGUCCUGCAAUGCUAAAGAUAACUUGGUCCAAACACCAGAUUGGGCACGUAAUUCAUAGCUUCAAAAUUAUGCAAAUAACUUGAUGCGCUUGUCUUUUCACAUGGUUUUGUGGGACUGUAAAUGCGGGCAAGCUAUUAUUAUGCUCUCCAGAAACAGGCGCAAACAUAUAGAGCUAUGGUUUCAAACAAUGAAACCAGGAAUUGGCCUCUUUUGUUGGCUGAUUCCAAGAGGAGUCGGUUUUUCUACACAGACAUCUCAGUUCAUAUGAUUAAAACGUUCAUUGUCUUAUCCUU
Physcomitrium patens is the source of this 1553-nucleotide non-coding RNA. Lineage: Eukaryota; Viridiplantae; Streptophyta; Bryopsida; Funariales; Funariaceae. The record is from RefSeq and is a predicted model, not a curated record.